AGUGAAGAGGGAUUAGCCCAGCACCGAAGCCUGCGACAAAUUUGUUGUUAGGCCAUGUGGUGUGCGAGUUGGCUGGCGGGAUCGUAACUCUACUCGAAGUCCAGCAUUGAGUAUGGUUAUUAUUGGAUUUGGCCCAUAGAGGGUGAGAGGCCCGUACGGUUGGAGGUUCAGACAAGUUAUACGGUUCACCAGGUCAACUUUAGAGUCGGGUUGUUUGAGAUUGCAGCCCAAAGUGGGUGGUAAACUCCAUCUAAGGCUAAAUACAGGUACGAGUCCGAUAGCGAACAAGUACCGUGAGGGAAUGUUGAAAAGUACUCUGAAGAGAGAGUAAAUAGUAAGUGAAACCGCAUGCAGGUAAACGGGUGGCGUCAAACCGCAAGCCUAGAGAAUAAAUCUGACUAAUUUGUGUUUUGGUCGGAAUAAAAUGUAGUGGUCUAUUCUCUAUGUGAGAAUAGGGCAUAAAGUGUUAUAAAAUAAGUAGACUUUUUUAGUUUGCUUAUAUAUUUCACUUUUUUUAGCUAUACGUGCCAGAUAGGUAUGGAAGUAUGCCACUCAUCUGUUGGGCCACUUAGUCAGUGUAAAUUCUCUAUGGUAAACAUCACGACCAAUGAUAUUGCUAGUUCACUAUAGUUAAGUCGUAUUAGCCUAAUUUGUUAACUUGUUUUAUUUUUAAUUUUAAUUAGUUAGUGUGUUGGUUAAUCAUUAUUUGGUUAGCUGGCUAAGCUAUCUAAUUAAUUAAUUAUGUAAAUAAGUUGACUCUAAAUAAUUAGGUAGAUACGAUCGCAGAUAGAGUAGACGGCGUAGUAAUACUUUGGUAUUGUUGCGUGUUAUCGUUUACUUACUGUUUAACACAUUACUAAUGUUAAAAUCUGUGACUACAUUUAUUAGUAAUGUGGCCGACUGUAGUAGUAAAAAUGACUGUGCAAGGCAUUGGAUUUAUCUAUCUAUUAUAAUAUGUAUGUAUCCUACAGGCACGUCACAGGUGCAUUAAAAAUAGAAGCACGCUGUUUAUUGUAUGUAUUAUGUGUGAUUGUCGUAUUGCUUACAAAAAAGCAGAUGCGGCAUUUGUGUAAUGCAUUAUAAUAAGCAAUAUUAGCGUUGCUUUUGGUGUAUGGAUAUAAAAAGAUGAAAUAGUCAGUGAUGCUGUGGUAGAUGAGCUACCUGACCCGUCUUGAAACACGGACCAAGGAGUUUAACAUGCAUGCAAGUCAAAGGGUAUUACGAAACAUGUUGAGACCCGAAAGAUGGUGAACUAUGCUUGCGUAGAUUGAAGCCAGAGAAAACUCUGGUGGAGGACCGUAGCGAUUCUGACGUGCAAAUCGAUCGUCAAACGU
This 1334-nucleotide ribosomal RNA is filed under the name Hemicatenotaenia geosciuri. RNAcentral describes it as "partial large subunit ribosomal RNA". It matches the Rfam family "Eukaryotic large subunit ribosomal RNA", at positions 92 to 912 of the family's 3401-position model. The record is from RNAcentral. Lineage: Eukaryota; Metazoa; Platyhelminthes; Cestoda; Cyclophyllidea; Catenotaeniidae.